This 494-nucleotide ribosomal RNA is filed under the name uncultured bacterium. Its description in RNAcentral is "partial 16S ribosomal RNA". It matches the Rfam family "Bacterial small subunit ribosomal RNA", at positions 28 to 507 of the family's 1533-position model. The record is from RNAcentral.
GACGAACGCUGGCGGCGUGCUUAACACAUGCAAGUCGAACGGUGAAGCGCCUUCCUUUUUGGUGGGUGUGGAUGAGUGGCGAACGGGUGAGUAACACGUGAGUAACCUGCCCCCUUCUUCUGGAUAACCGCAUGAAAGUGUGGCUAAUACGGGAUAUUCUGGGUCUGUCGCAUGAUGGGUCUGGGAAAGAUAUUGUUUCGGUGGGGGAUGGGCUCGCGGCCUAUCAGCUUGUUGGUGGGGUGAUGGCCUACCAAGGCGGUGACGGGUAGCCGGCCUGAGAGGGUGGACGGUCACACUGGGACUGAGACACGGCCCAGACUCCUACGGGAGGCAGCAGUGGGGAAUAUUGCACAAUGGGCGCAAGCCUGAUGCAGCGACGCCGCGUGAGGGAUGGAGGCCUGCGGGUUGUGAGCCUCUUUCGCCAGUGAAGCAGGCCUGCCUCGUUUGUGGGUGGGUUGACGGUAGCUGGAUAAGAAGCGCCGGCUAACUACGUG